Centruroides sculpturatus (bark scorpion) is the source of this 163-nucleotide long non-coding RNA. RefSeq lists it as uncharacterized. NCBI's taxonomy places the organism in Eukaryota, Metazoa, Arthropoda, Arachnida, Scorpiones, Buthidae. The record is from RefSeq and is a predicted model, not a curated record. The transcript has 3 exons.
UGAAAUCGGAAUAACUUUUUUACAGUCCAAAGUUUUGAGUAAGAAAACUUUAUUAAAACUAAACAGUUUCUAACUACAAAAAUUUCUACCAAUAAAAAAUGUAAUAAAUAAUUGUAGUUAAACUGACCCCAGAAUAAGUUGUUUCAUUACAAAAUUUAAUCAG